This 707-nucleotide ribosomal RNA is filed under the name uncultured bacterium. RNAcentral's name for it is "bacterial SSU rRNA". It matches the Rfam family "Bacterial small subunit ribosomal RNA", at positions 1 to 756 of the family's 1533-position model. The record is from RNAcentral.
CGGAGAGUUUGAUCCUGGCUCAGAGCGAACGCUGGCGGCAGGCUUAACACAUGCAAGUCGAGCGGGCGUAGCAAUACGUCAGCGGCAGACGGGUGAGUAACGCGUGGGAACAUACCUUUUGGUUCGGAACAACACAGGGAAACUUGUGCUAAUACCGGAUAAGCCCUUACGGGGAAAGAUUUAUCGCCGAAAGAUUGGCCCGCGUCUGAUUAGCUAGUUGGUGAGGUAACGGCUCACCAAGGCGACGAUCAGUAGCUGGUCUGAGAGGAUGAUCAGCCACAUUGGGACUGAGACACGGCCCAAACUCCUACGGGAGGCAGCAGUGGGGAAUAUUGGACAAUGGGCGCAAGCCUGAUCCAGCCAUGCCGCGUGAGUGAUGAAGGCCCUAGGGUUGUAAAGCUCUUUUGUGCGGGAAGAUAAUGACGGUACCGCAAGAAUAAGCCCCGGCUAACUUCGUGCCAGCAGCCGCGGUAAUACGAAGGGGGCUAGCGUUGCUCGGAAUCACUGGGCGUAAAGGGUGCGUAGGCGGGUCUUUAAGUCAGGGGUGAAAUCCUGGAGCUCAACUCCAGAACUGCCUUUGAUACUGAAGAUCUUGAGUUCGGGAGAGGUGAGUGGAACUGCGAGUGUAGAGGUGAAAUUCGUAGAUAUUCGCAAGAACACCAGUGGCGAAGGCGGCUCACUGGCCCGAUACUGACGCUGAGGCACGA